Podarcis lilfordi (Lilford's wall lizard) is the source of this 3975-nucleotide non-coding RNA. The record is from the annotation of a GenBank genome assembly. NCBI's taxonomy places the organism in Eukaryota, Metazoa, Chordata, Lepidosauria, Squamata, Lacertidae.
GCGGCUGAACUAGAACUCCCAUCACAUCUGGCCGUUGGCCGGGCUUGUUCUGGAUGAUGGGAGUUGUAGUUCAUCAACACCCUAGUGGGCCAAAUAUUCCCCACACCUGCUCUAAAUAAAACACCUGUAUAUAGAUGGAGAUUGUGUCAGGGAGAACCAUUCCCCUUGGCACUUACUUUUAGGGUAAUUUUAUUAUUGUGCGUUAUUUAUUUAUGGUUUUGUUUGUGGCAUUUAUAUUCCAUCUUUUCCUUCACCGAGCUAGCGGUGCAAAUAAUUCUCCCCUCUUCAUUUUAUCCUCACAACAACGCUGUGGGUGGGGUAGGUCACGCUGAGAGGCAGUGACUGGUUCAAGACCAGCUUGUGAGCUUCGUAGCCAACUGAGGAUUUGAACCCAGGACUCCCAGAUCCUAGACUUGGGCACAGCCCUUAGUGCAAACUCGGCCCAAGAGUGAAAUAAGUCGAAAGGUGCAGUAGAUCUACCAAGGCAAGUUCCAUGUAUUCUGCCUUAAUUAGUUUGAUGACAGCAUUUUUUCAAAGAAUGUGUUUGUCGGAUAAUUGUCCUUGAAUUAACAAACCGAAGGUCCUAACUGUGGCUCCGAAGCCCAUGGUCUCAUCCCUGCCUCCCUGCUUCCCACCGAACCUGCUACAUACUAAAUAAACGCGGCCGCAGGAUUCUGCUCAUCUCAGCCGAAGCCCUGCCUUUCCGGUCUUGCGUUCCUCAUUGUUUAUUUCAAAUUGUAAACUCCGUGGAGGCAGGGACCUGUCCAUUUUUAUUUUAUUUUUUUGCUUAUCGGUAUGUAAAGAGCCCUGCACUGUAGCAAUGGUAACAACAUUUUUUCUCAGGUCUGUAGGACGAAAUUAUGCGUGAUCUAGAAAGGUGCCGGAAAUGGAGGUUUGCAGGAAGCCAACGCUGCAAUUUCCAAGGGCAGCGAACUACUCUAGAUAAGAAAGGUGGAUGGAAAGAUCACUGCACAGUCGGGUGGUAUGAAGGGAAAUGAGGUUAUUCCCCGCGGUCUAAUAAUAAAUAAAGGUUAGAUUCUGGCUAGGUAUAAUGCAGAGCGUUGACACACAGGUAGUGUACUGUGAAUUCUUGGGGACACGCAGCUCUUAGGCUCUCGGCUGAAAUAUGAGGACUGUGGUACUGGCCUGCCUUGCGGUUUUGUUGUAAAAAUGUGUACGGGACGCGCUUUGAAUACAUACAAAAACACUACAGUAUUAGACAUGUUCAAUAUUAGCCUGAUCCUUCAAUAACCCUUUAAAAGGCCACUAGAUAUAGAAACAACCCAAAGUAGAAAAUCACAUUUGAAAAUCGGAAUAUUUGGGGGGGGGGGGUUGGGAUCCUGAAAAAAUGACGUUCAGAGCAAUCCUUGACAUGUUUACUCAGAUAUAUAAGCCCACCCCCCAGCGUUCUAUGGGCUUUUCUUCCAGAAAAGCAUGCAUAGGAUCGCAGCCUAUCGGUGCUGCUGUAUGCUUACGAGGAAGUUGGUCUCCCUGAGGCCAUUAGUUCUUCCUCGCAGGGUUUCAGCGCAGGUUUGUCCGAGCUGGUUUGCCCUCCGCUCCUCCGCUCCUAAUUUGAAAGAGGCGUUUGGGGACCCAAACCCUUCUCUCCAGGUUUCCGAAUGCGCCUAACAUGCGUCCGACCACCACAUCUUUUUCGAAUGACCCACCUGGGAGGGUGAAGCGCAGCGACAGAGUGGAGCUUCUCCCUGUCCCCCUUCCCAACAUUUCUGAAUGGAGCCACUAACCCACCUUUCCGAAGUACUGGGUUCAGUGAGACUUGCUUCCCCUUCCAACCAGUGGGUUAAGGACCCCGCCUAAACCAGUUUUUUAAUCUGGCAGUGGGUGGCAUUUGGAGUUUUGAAUGCACCAGCAAAAGCUGAACUGAACACCGAGUCCCGUUUGGAGAAGCGCACUUUACCUUGAGAUGCGGGCUCAGAGAGACGCCGAAUUGGGAAAGUAAUAAAGCUACAUUUGGUAAAGGAAGUUUGAUGGGAACGUUCAUCGCUCUAAUCUGAGGUGGCGAUGCACAAAGAGCCAUGCUUGCUCUUUGUUCUCAGCGGGAGAGGCCUACAAAGAUGUCUCCUCUCCCAAGCUGAGGAUGAAGGAGCAGGAAAUUAGGUCAGCAACGCUAAGAGUUUCCCUCCAGCAGCUGAAGGAAUGUCAGCACAGGUCGAAGGACAGUCUAGGAUGCUUGCAGAUUCUUCUAUCUACUCUACUCUUUCCCAUGCAAAGCCAACAACCUAUAGGCAAGCUGUGUUGCAUCUCAAUACUUUCUGCAGUAGCUGGGCUUAACAGGGUUGUGGGUGGGGUUUUAAGUUGCAGCUUUCUAUAUGUUAUUACUUGGGAGUAGACUUCAACUGAAAUCUGUAGAGCUAAUUUCUGAAUUUCUGACCGCAGUCAUUAUGGCCACUUACCUGGGAACAAGACCCAUUUUGUCUACUUUGGGACGAAUUGCCUUGGAAUAAGAAGUGUGGAGGUGGUGGUGAAAUGAUGAGCCAAUUCAAAUUUCACCACAGCUGCUGACUGGGUAGGUGGCCUUUGUUAGGCUUUUUAGGGCACUGGAUGCAUAGCAAAUAGAACAAUCUGUUCUGGAUGACUACAAAAGGAAAGCAGAUUUUGUGGUUGAUUCCUGAAAUCCAGAUCAGAAUCCCUCAGGAUAGGUGGGAAACUGUGGAACAGAGGCAGAUAAAAUCCAGAUCACAAUAUUUGUUAACCUUAGCAUUGCACACUGACAAUAAUUCUAGGUUGGCUUGGUGUGGGGCAAGUAAGAUUCUCCCAGAUACUAAGAAGAAUUCCUCUAGUAUGAAUAAGACUAAAAGCUUGUUUUGCUUCUUAUAUCCCUCCUGCUGUGGGGCAGAGGCUGUAGUAGGCAACACAAACCAUUUCAUAAUAAAAUAAUAAAAAUAAACAAUGCUAUCAGCUAUUAUUACUGGAAAACACUGCAGUGAGAAACAUGGGCAAUGCCGCUACUACAAGGACACUAAUGUUGUGGCAGAUUUUUAGUAAUUUUUAGUAGCAGUACAGCAAUGGUCUACAGCUUCCCCUGUACCUGCAAAGGUGUUUUCCCAGCUUUUAAUGUUACUAUUUCUAUUGUAGCGGUUUCCUCAUAGAUUUACCUGCUGCAUGGAACUGCAUUCUUGAAGUUGCAAACACAGGAGAAAACGUUUUCUGGGUGUUAGUGAUUCAUUAUAAUAGAAGUAAAUGUAAUAAUAUUGGGAAGCCUUUUAUAUUCAGUUUGUGACUUUAAUAAUAGACAUGUGGUUAUUUUUGUUUGCUAAAACCAAAAUGAUACAGACAUUGGAAAAAAAUAACAAUAAUCUUAUAUGGUGUUUUUUUAAAAAAACAACAACACCAGGUUUAAGUUCUUUGUUAAAUGAACUCUUUCCCAUUAUUUAUUUGUAACUGGUGGAAUCCCGCUGGGUGAGUGAGAAGAGGCGAGCCCAAACACUUGGCCUUGAUUAGAGAUGUCCUCUCUUUUCUCCCUCAGCUAGGGCUGGCUUUCCCUAGAACUGUGUUUGGUCUUCCACUGUCAUACUGUAAGCACACGAAUCCGAGUGAGGAAUCUUAGAUCGGGUGGGUGGCGGGGGCGAAGGAGAGAAACCAGUCGGACUAGAAGAGAUCCAUUCUCCGGAGGCCCCUUUUAGUUCUGCACACCUUGCCUGCAGCGCGCACCUUGUCUACUUUGAAAAGAUUUCCUCUUGUCUUUUUAUUCUCGGCAGAGGCUGCUUCCAAAUGUAGUUUCUCUGCCUUCAGUGCAACAGCUCGAGCAGUAGGCAGGUUGCAAGAAACCCGAGUUCUGAAUAUUAAUAGCCGCGCGUAGGUGAGCGACUUGGGAAGAGGAGAGAGGGAAGGGAAUGAGAAAGAGAGAGAGAGAGAGAGAGAGAGACUUUCUUAGUUUGCGUUGCACAAACCAGCACAAUGGUGUGUGCUUUAUCGAACAGGUUUCUGUCGGUUAGCUUCACCCGGACCAAACGC